RNAcentral lists this unclassified non-coding RNA (343 nucleotides) under soil metagenome. RNAcentral describes it as "partial contains 5.8S ribosomal RNA, internal transcribed spacer 2, and large subunit ribosomal RNA". The stretch from base 1 to 120 matches the Rfam family "5.8S ribosomal RNA", at positions 35 to 154 of the family's 154-position model. The record is from RNAcentral.
GAUGAAGAACGCAGCGAAAUGCGAUAAGUAAUGUGAAUUGCAGAAUUCAGUGAAUCAUCGAAUCUUUGAACGCACAUUGCGCCCGCUAGUAUUCUGGCGGGCAUGCCUGUCCGGGCGUCAUUUCAACCCUCAAGCCCCCGGGCUUGGUGUUGGGGAUCGGCGAGCCUCCGCGCCCGCCGUCCCCUAAAUCUAGUGGCGGUCUCGCUAUAGCUUCCUCUGCGUAGUAGCACACCUCGCACUGGGAAACAGCGCGGCCACGCCGUUAAACCCCCAACUUCUGAACGUUUGACCUCGGAUCAGGUAGGAAUACCCGCUGAACUUAAGCAUAUCAAUAAGCGGAGGA